AUUGAACGCUGGCGGCAGGCUUAACACAUGCAAGUCGAGCGGGGUGAUGGUGCUUGCACUAUCACUUAGCGGCGGACGGGUGAGUAAUGCUUAGGAAUCUGCCUAUUAGUGGGGGACAACAUCUCGAAAGGGAUGCUAAUACCGCAUACGUCCUACGGGAGAAAGCAGGGGAUCACUUGUGACCUUGCGCUAAUAGAUGAGCCUAAGUCGGAUUAGCUAGUUGGUGGGGUAAAGGCCUACCAAGGCGACGAUCUGUAGCGGGUCUGAGAGGAUGAUCCGCCGAACUAGGACUGAGAAACGGCCCAGACUCCUCCGGGAGGCAGCAGUGGGGAAUAUUGGACAAUGGGGGGAACCCUGAUCCAGCCAUGCCGCGUGUGUGAAGAAGGCCUUAUGGUUGUAAAGCACUUUAAGCGAGGAGGAGGCUCUUUUGGUUAAUACCCAAGAUGAGUGGACGUUACUCGCAGAAUAAGCACCGGCUAACUCUGUGCCAGCCGCCGCCGUAA
Molecule: ribosomal RNA, 503 nt
Filed under: uncultured bacterium
Lineage: Bacteria
Description: partial 16S ribosomal RNA
Rfam family: Bacterial small subunit ribosomal RNA
Source: RNAcentral